Molecule: ribosomal RNA, 374 nt
Filed under: uncultured organism
Description: partial 16S ribosomal RNA
Rfam family: Bacterial small subunit ribosomal RNA
Source: RNAcentral
GUAGGUGGCAAGCGUUGUCCGGAAUUAUUGGGCGUAAAGCGCGCGCAGGUGGUUCUUUAAGUCUGAUGUGAAAGCCCCCGGCUCAACCGGGGAGGGUCAUUGGAAACUGGGGAACUUGAGUGCAGGAGAGGAAAGUGGAAUUCCACGUGUAGCGGUGAAAUGCGUAGAUAUGUGGAGGAACACCAGUGGCGAAGGCGACUUUCUGGCCUGUAACUGACACUGAGGCGCGAAAGCGUGGGGAGCAAACAGGGAUUAGAUACCCUGGUAGUCCACGCCGUAAACGAUGAGUGCUAAGUGUUGGGGGGGUUUCCGCCCCCUCAGUGCUGCAGCUAACGCAUUAAGCACCCCCGCCUGGGGAUACGGUCGCAAGACUG